GAUGAACGCUGGCGGCGUGCCUAAUACAUGCAAGUCGUACGGAAAGGCCCUUCGGGGUACUCGAGUGGCGGACGGCUGAGUAACGCGUGGGAACGUUCCCCAAAGUGAGGGAUAACGCACCGAAAGGUGUGCUAAUACCGCAUAUGGUCUUCGGAUUAAAGCUUCGGCGCUUUGGGAGCGGCCCGCGUCCGAUUAGAUAGUUGGUGAGGUAAUGGCUCACCAAGUCGACGAUCGUUAGCUGGUCUGAGAGGAUGAUCAGCCAGACUGGGACUGGGACACGGCCCAGACUCCUACGGGAGGCAGCAGUAAGGAAUCUUCCACAAUGGGGGCAACCCUGAUGGAGCAACGCCGCGUGCAGGAUGAAGGUUUUCGGAUCGUAAACUGCUUUUAUAAGUGAAGAAUAUGACGGUAACUUAUGAAUAAGGAUCGGCUAACUACGUGCCAGCCGCCGCGGUAA
Molecule: ribosomal RNA, 457 nt
Filed under: uncultured bacterium
Lineage: Bacteria
Description: partial 16S ribosomal RNA
Rfam family: Bacterial small subunit ribosomal RNA
Source: RNAcentral